This 280-nucleotide long non-coding RNA is filed under the name Zostera marina. RNAcentral describes it as "long non-coding RNA (ZMAR_LNC005054)". Lineage: Eukaryota; Viridiplantae; Streptophyta; Magnoliopsida; Alismatales; Zosteraceae. The record is from RNAcentral.
CUCAUCUUUCAAUUCUUCUUUCUCUUUCUCUUCUUCAGACGCGGCUUCCUCAACCUGUAUAUCAGACUCUGCCCCAAUCUGAAAUUCUGCCUCUUCAUCACUCAGCGCGGAUCCCUCAGCCAUAAUCGGAUCUUCGCGGUCCUCUUCCUCAGAUAUCUCUAGUGUUUCUUCCUCCGACUGCAAGGCUUCUACCUCGACUAUCUCAUUCUGAUCAUCCUUAGGUAAUAAUCUGCCAACAUCUAAAAUUACCAAUUCAGUAGGAAAUAUGCACUUAUCAUAA